Molecule: ribosomal RNA, 446 nt
Filed under: uncultured bacterium
Lineage: Bacteria
Description: SSU rRNA
Rfam family: Bacterial small subunit ribosomal RNA
Source: RNAcentral
AGAGCGAACGCUGGCGGCAGGCUUAACACAUGCAAGUCGAGCGGGCGUAGCAAUACGUCAGCGGCAGACGGGUGAGUAACGCGUGGGAACAUACCUUUUGGUUCGGAACAACCCAGGGAAACUUGGGCUAAUACCGGAUAAGCCCUUACGGGGAAAGAUUUAUCGCCGAAAGAUUGGCCCGCGUCUGAUUAGCUAGUUGGUGAGGUAACGGCUCACCAAGGCGACGAUCAGUAGCUGGUCUGAGAGGAUGAUCAGCCACAUUGGGACUGAGACACGGCCCAAACUCCUACGGGAGGCAGCAGUGGGAAUAUUGGACAAUGGGCGCAAGCCUGAUCCAGCCAUGCCGCGUGAGUGAUGAAGGCCCUAGGGUUGUAAAGCUCUUUUGUGCGGGAAGAUAAUGACGGUACCGCAAGAAUAAGCCCGGCUAACUUCGCGCCAGCAGCCGC